GAGUUUUGAAUUUUUUCUCUUUCCAAAAAUGUCUCUAUCUUUUUUACUAAUAUUGUCAUGUCCAGUAAUUUUCAACCAUUAAUUUUAAAUGAAUUUUUAAAUAAUAAUUUAUUCUCAAAUAUAGAUCUUAAGUUUUCGCCAUUGGAUCUCAUCCAACGAAUAAAAAUAAAAGUAUCUGUCAUUUUUGUUGACAAAAAUACCCUACAUAUCCGUUAUCUCCCAUUUACGCCGCGUUUCUCAAAUAUUUUUUUCUACCCACCAAUCAUGUAAUACGUAAAACUAAACUUAUCUCUUAUCUAACCUAACGUAAUACCCGCCAAUCACGUAAUACCUCUGCUAAUCACUAAAAAAAAAUUAAUACCCGCCCAAUCAAAACUAAAUAGUUAAUUAAAUAUAAUUUUAAAUAUUUUUAGCAAAAUAUUCAAUGUUUAAAUAAUACCCACCAAAAUAUUCUCCGCGUUCUCAAAUAUAAAAUAUAUUUUAUCCAUUUUAAAUAAAUCUUCAAAUAAUAAUUUAUUCUCAAAUAUAAAUUUUAAGUUUUCGUCAUUGGAUCUUAUCCAACGAAUAAAAAUAAAAGUAUCUGUCAUUUUUGUUAACAAAAAUAUCAUCCAUAUCCGUUAUCUACUAUCUACGUUACUCAAAUAUUUUUUUCUAUCCAUAAUAUGUAAAACUAAAUUUAUCUCUUAUCUGACGUAAUACCCGCCAAUCACGUAAUACCUCCGCUAAAUUUAUUUCCUAUCCAAGCAUUUUCUCAAAUAUUUUUUUUCUCAAACGUAAUACCUACCAAAAUUAAAUUUUCUCAAACAUAAUACCUACCAAAAUUAAAUUUUAAAUUUGUAAUACCCGCCAAAAUUUAAUACCUGUGAAUUUGAUAAUUUGAAUUUUAAUUCAUGAUAGUAGAUUUUUUCUUACAUAAGAUAGUAGAUUUAAUUUUGACGAGUAUUAAAAUUUGGCGUGCCAUAGAAGUGAUAUUGCUAAAAAAAUUUAAUACCCCCUAAAUCAAAACUAAAUCGUUAAUUAAAUAUAAUUUUAAAUAGUUUUAGCAAAAUAUUCAAUAUUUAAAUAAUGCGUCAUAAAAGCAUAGAAUAUUUCUAAAAAAAAUUAAUAUUUGUCCAAUCAAAACUAAAUCGUUAAUUAAAAAUAAUUUUAAAUUUUUUUAGCAAAAUAUUCAAUAUUUAAAUAAUAUCUACCAAAAUAUUCUCCGCAUUAUCAAAUAUAGAAUAUAUCUUAAUACCCUUACAUAUAAUAUCUACGCUAACCAAUCUUAUCUCAUCAUAAUAUUUUUCACACAAUAUAUACAUCAUAUUUUUUCUGUUUUUUUAUCUUUUUUAGUAUUUUUCAUUUUCACCUAUACGUUUCUUACAUAUAAAGAAUAUAUAUUUUUUUAGUAGUAUCUUUUUUUUUAUUUUUAUCUAUAUUUUUCUCAAAAAUUUUUUUAGUAAUAUCUUUUCUUAUUUGUUACAGAGGUACAUCGUCAUCGUCUUACUCAUCAUCAUUGCCUGUGCCGGAACAUUGUCGCGUUCGCCACCUUCGUUAUAAUUAAAGAGGUAUUUUAAUUCCAUCUGAAAUUUUUUUUUUAAUGUGCUUUUAUACUGUUUUAGUAUAUCUUUUUUUUUAAUUUUUUCUUAUUUUCACAUAUACGUUUCUCAAAUAUAAAGUAUAUAUUUUUUAGUAAUAUAUUUUUUUUUAUCUAUAUUUUUUAAAAAUAUUUUUAAAUAUUUUUUUUGUAAUAUACUUUCUCAUUUGUCGGCACUGGUACAUCGUCGUUAUCAUCGUCAUCAUUAUUACCGGUGCCGACAUAUUAUCGCCUUCGUCACUUUCGCCGCCUUUGCACAAUUGAAGAGGUAUUUUGAUCCUAUCUGAAAAUUUUUCUUUUUUUAAUAUGCCUUUAUACUGUUUUAGUAUUUUUUUUUAGUAUUUCUCAUUUUCACUUAUAUAUUUCUCAAAUAUAAAGCAUAUAUUUUUUUAAUAAUAUUUUUUUCUAUUUUUGGUAUUAUUUUUCUUAAAUAUUCUCAAAUAUUAUUUUUUAGUAUUUGUGCGACGUGCAUUGCACGUGCACUUAACUAGUAUAUAUAUAAUCUCAAAGAGGGAGA
Molecule: long non-coding RNA, 2093 nt
Filed under: Ananas comosus (pineapple)
Lineage: Eukaryota; Viridiplantae; Streptophyta; Magnoliopsida; Poales; Bromeliaceae
Description: long non-coding RNA (ACOM_LNC042800)
Source: RNAcentral